CAGCCAUGCCAUGCUGAAUAUAUCGGCUAUCUUUCGAUCACCGAAGUCAAGCAUCAUCGGGUGUGGUCAGUAUUUGGGAGGGUGACCAACUGGGAACACCGCGUA
Molecule: non-coding RNA, 105 nt
Organism: Caerostris extrusa
Lineage: Eukaryota; Metazoa; Arthropoda; Arachnida; Araneae; Araneidae
Source: the annotation of a GenBank genome assembly